RNAcentral lists this long non-coding RNA (33309 nucleotides) under Triticum aestivum (bread wheat). RNAcentral describes it as "long non-coding RNA (TAES_LNC014916)". Lineage: Eukaryota; Viridiplantae; Streptophyta; Magnoliopsida; Poales; Poaceae. The record is from RNAcentral.
UGAAGUGAAUAGUUGGCAACAGGAUAUCAUGUGAUUCAGGUGUAUAUUGAAGAAAUGUGAUUGCCGAUUUGCUUUUCUCUCUUUACAGUUUGUGUUUGUGUCUUUUCGCUUUUUCAGCCACUUUGUUGUAACAUGCUCAAUAUUCUUUGGGGUGGUUGGUGUUAUCAAGGACAGCACGUGAAGCCUGCUGGAAAUCACAUGAUGAUCAUUCUCCUCUGCCUGGUCUGUGUCCUGUGAUUCCUAAAUGUCUGUCAUGUGAUUGUACUUUUAAUGAUCUAGUGAUGUAUGAUUGUAUUCUCAGUUGCUUGAAACAUGCAUGCAUCAACUGGGGAACUGCUUGAAACAUCUGUUCCAUACACCUUAACUUUUUAAAAGAAAGAUUCUAUGAUUUGUUGGUGCGCCUGCUUUGAGCCUAAGCCAACCACAAGCAAAAAAGAAAUUGGCUAGCCAAUAUACUGGAUAAGGUUUUGGCUUCCCACGUUUUCUUCAAUGUUGGCAAAGAAAAAUAAAUUAGAAUUGGAUUAAGCAUGCGUUAAUAUUAGGAAUGAUUCAAGCAAUGCCCAAAAUUUUGGUCAUGACCAAUUUUUUUUCUUAACUGUGUGACAAAAAAUGGUACACCAUCUAUACAUGCCCACUUCAAGCUGAGGCAAAUUGCCUCAAGUUUGGAAAAGAAAGACACAACCUUUUUUUGAGGAAGAAAGACACUCGAUAAUGGCUACACUCUGCAUAUGCUCUUCUCGGCUGCUCAGCCAACCCCUCCUUGCCUAGCUGUUGGCGCGUGGUUUUUCCAUAGUUGCGGUUGGAAAUUGAUCAUUGCGAGGGAUGCACCUAGCCUAAAGCUAUUAGGCAUCCUCUGACCCGUACGGGCAUCUUCAAGGGAAUGCACCAAAAGUCCAAAACCCCUCUGCCCGUUCCGAUUUAUUUGUGGACGUGUUCAUGGAAAAAGCCCAUUUAUCCGUCAUAAAUUAGACACCUGGCGGCAUCCCCCAUUUGUCUGACCCUUUUUGUCCAUUUUCAUUUUCAGCCUAAAUUGAAUAUUCGAAAGACACAACUUAAAAAUAAAAAAUACAUAGUUCAAGUUUAGAAAUAUACAGUUUGAACAUAGAUAUUAAUCAGAGGACAUGUUUAAACAUAAAAAUACUCAAAAGUACGUCACAGAUCUAUUGACUUACAUGAUGUAUUCACAAAUGCUCUACAAGAUCAUUUAGAAGUUAUUGAUGCGCUUCUAGAUCUCGAAGUUGCUGAUGCAUAUUGAGCAAAUGUGCAACCUGAUAUGCCUCUUCUUCCAAGAGAUGGACAUAUGUGCCAUGGUUUUCAAAGUUAACAUUCUGUACACCAUCACCCUCAUCCUUCAAUCAUGUUGUGCAUGAUCAUACAAUUAGUCAUCAUCUUCUACAAUGUCUUGGGAUCCCACAUAUUUGUAGGUCCAUGUAUAAUAGCCCAUCAAGCUUGCAGCACCUCAAAUGCCCACUCCCCGUCCUUCCUAGCACCUUCUUGCAUUUGGGCAAAGAGAGUCUUUUUGUUACCUUGCGACUCGGUGUCAGUCUUCACAAUCGUCACCCAUUAAGGAAAAAUACCGGCAGCAACGUAGUACCACAUGGUGUACUCGUGCCCAUUGAUGGUAUAGUUGCACUCGGGAGCCUUGCAACACAAAGUCUUGCAAACAAUGACGAUCGCUGAAGCACGUCGAUGUUGCUAUGAGACCCUGGCUUGCCAAAGAAAGAGUGUCAAAUCUACAGGUCGUGUCAUGUCACUACUUCCGGUAUGAUGGUGGGCUCUCGGAGUAUGAUAUUGGUAUCGUCCUUAUGAACCUACUAGAUAGUUCUUCCAUUCCUAGUGCAUGCAAUUGAUGGAACCAGGCAUACCGGGAAACCCUCUUCAUUCUCCAAAUGCCAAAAGCUUGGCUGUGUCGGCAUAGUUGGUUCUCUCAAGUACUCUUUGCCAAACACCUUCACCACUAAAGUGGAAAAUCUGACCAUCGCUUUAAUACAUGACCUCUCUGCCAUCCGGAUACACUCAUCAACAGUGUUUGUCCCAUUGUAUCAUAUGCAGAUAUUCUCAUAGCAGCAGUGCAAUUCUAGAGACAAGAGAACCCAAGUAGCUUGGUGCAAUCCCUCUUUAGCGUGAAGUGUCAUAUUCGUUCACACCCUCCACAAUGCGUAAGAACACAUGCCUAUGCAUCCGAAAAUGAGGAUGAAAGAAGCCAUAAUGACAUGUCAGCUUGGCCCAUGAAUAGUCAGUGUAGAGUACCAACGCCACCCUUUCCCCUUUUUGGUUAUCAGUUAUCCUGCUCGACGUAGAACCCAUGAAGUUGAGAAUAUGCUCCUCUUCCUUCUUCGAUGCUCCGAGAAUACUCAACAUUAACAUAAACUCAUAGUCGUUGUCACCUUCGUCCCAUGUCGAUGAUAUGAAGAAUUCGUUGUAAUUAAAAGCAUCAUUGGUGUCCAUCUUUUGCACCCCACAAAUGUGCAACAAGAAAGCGGCCAAACUCUAUUUCAGACAUUUCGUUGAAUAAGUGGUGCACGAGGUGGACGGCAUUUGUGGUCGGGGGUCUAAGACAUACCAAGAGUGGCGUCCAUACGACGAGCGUGUUCGGGGGCAAUGAUCCGGGUGAGCGUGUGACUAGAUGGGGCGCGGGUUGGGGGAGGAACAGAGGAUGAAAGAAUGGAGAUAGGCGGAGGGAGGAAGGAAGCUCUAGGGUUUGAGAUGGGGCCCAUGUCUCGUCAGUCCGGACAACCCUCAUUUCUCCUCCACAUAUGGUCUGGGUUUGGAGAGUUCGGACAACCCAGGCAUAUAUCCUAGGUUUAGGGGAGGCCCUGCUGGAUGGCCUUUCGAUUGUGUUUGUAUCAUAAACGGCCAAUAACUCGUAUUUUUCCUCGAACGAUGCUUCUUUUGGAAUUGCGGAGAUCAUGCAUAUUCAACGUUUGUGUGUUAACAAACCUUUUCUUUUGCUUUUAUAUUUUUGAGAUUGCUCACCACAAGUGUCAUGUGGUGCCUGAGGGUAUCUCCAACGCCAACACAAACUAGACAACGCAUCCGUUCGUGGAUUGGGGGACCAGACCGCGGACACUGAUGCAAGGCCUACCAUCCAAUCAUAGCCGCAAAUGUCUGCACAUUUCGGAAGAAUUUAACGGAAGAGAACAAAUUUGAUGCAUAUUUAACAAACUGGACGAUAUUCAUUCAUAUUUUGAUGAUUUUUACAUAGAACUGGAUGCUUUUCAUCUAAGCUGGAGCAAGGUCAUUACAUCUUGACAUAUUCAACUAAAUUGUACUCUAAACCUAGUCUAAAUGACCGUUGGCGUCCAUUCCCCAUGCCUGACCGGUCAUGAGCCCCGAAAAAUGAAGCUCCGCCUCCGUAGCCUGCAAGCGACUAAUCCGGCAACGAUGAUGAGCCCGUCAAGCUUAGCUUCAAUGGGAAGGGAGGAGUGGUGUGGCCUUCCUGGGACCCGAGCGUCGGCGACCUCCCAUGCUCCACUCUUCUCGCUACCGGCGGCGCCCGCGGACGUGCCGUCUUCGUCCUCGUGGCAGCGGGGCGUGGUCGAGGUGGAGCUGGCGACGUCGUCCCUAUGGCACCGGGGCAAGGCCGACUUCAUCCACCACCUCAUCGAUCUCCUUGAAGGCGGCUUCUAACUCUGUCUGAUGGACGCAGUACCGCCAGCGGGUGCAGCAGAUGUCGCGGGCGGUGUGGUAGGAUUGGACCAGCGCCUCCUGCUCGCCCACGACCAUGUCCGGCGCGAUGCCCGUGCCGCCGACGAGUUGCUCCUUCGCACGCUGGUGCUCGUCGAGGAGGCGAUGGUUGUACGCCUGGUCGCCUUGCGCCUACAGGGACGUGGCAUAUGUCGCUUUUCCAACACCAUGUUGGUGUAGUGAGCUCGGGCCUCGCCCAUGGUGAUGCCGGCAUGGGCCGGCGAGGAAGUUGGCACAAGCUCGUUGUCGGCCGCCUCUUCCAUUGGGGCGUCCGCAGCGCUGGCCUUCGGUGAGCUUGUCCGUCUGCCGACCUGCCAGCCUACUGCAAUGGUGGCGAUCUCCUUUAUUUGCUCGGACUAGAGGCUGUCCCAGAGGGCUUUGGAGCUCGAGGAGGCCAUCAUGGGCAUGCCGUCGAGGGGAGUUAGGGAGCAGAGGAGGUUGAAUGCGGCUGUUGCCGAGCCUGAAGUUUAAAUAGCGUGCAGAUGGUAGGGCAUGCAACGAGGUGGCUAACGGUGGGUAACAGACGGAUGAACAGGUGACGCUGGAGCAGGUUCCUCGGCAACCGUGCAUGUUUAAUGUAGGGAGGCGGACAUACUGGAUGUCAUUUGAACGCCGAUCAGUCGCGUGCACCGGGAUGCGGCGCGGGCGGUGCUCUCAAUGCCGGAGCGACCUGAAAGGUUGCGUCCAUUUUGGGCAGGCAUGAAUGCGGCGGUGACGCUCUGGAGCGGCGGUGACCGCUUUGGACGGGAAACUGCUCGAGCGGAAGAGGGUUUGUGUGGGCCAGGGACAUUGGAUGUUUGCGUGGCAGCAAUCCAAACUCCCGCGAAGCCCCUCAGUUUACUUCCGGUUAAUCUCUGUCUCUACUGCUUAAUAAUCAAUCACCUUAAUAUACUUACCUUCUAAAACAAUUGCACUUUAAUUUAUUUGUCAAACUUCUAAUCAAAAUAUAAGGUAAUUCAAGGGUAUAAUUUGAUAUACAUUUAUUUACACAAUCACAUCAUUAUUAAUAGAUAAAUCACAAGCUAACAUGUUAAAAUAUUUAUAUCCUGUUGCGAUGCACGGACAUUAUUUUAGUACGAGAAAAAUGACAUUCGAACCAUCGAAUGAAUCCAUAUUGUGGGCAGUCUGAGGGUCCAACGGAGAUGCCAAACAACCCAAAAAAAAAAAAGAAGAAAAAGGCAGAGAAGAGUGUAAAUCUUCACACGCUGGCCGGGAACGUGAGCUUUGGCCCGAGCCGGCGCAAGCGACAGGCCCUCCCUCCGUUUCCAAAGAAAGGAUUGAAAAGAUUUUAGCCCAUCUGGGUUUUAGCUCCACAGCCACCGCCGCCAUGGCCGUCAUCCCACCCCUCUCACUCCUCCUCCUCCCCCUCCCACUCCUCCCCUAGCCUCGCGUCUGCCCCGAAUGGCGAGCGCCUCCAUCUCCUCUCUGUUCCUCGCGCCACCCGGAUUUCCCUGCCAGAUCGCCGGCCGCCUAGCCCCCGCCCCCAGAAUCCGUUCCUCGAGGCGCUUCGCGGCUGCCCGCUGCGAGGCCGCCCUCGUCCCGGCGUGGCGGCUCCGCGCGCCGCCCCGUCGCCGGAACGUGCUGCGCGACAAGGCCCCGCCGCCGCUGGUGGUUCGCCCUCCCAACCACGAGGCCCUCGAUUCUCGUCCGCAGCUGGACAAGGACCGCCCUCCUUUGGUUGGUCUUACUGGAGAACCGCAGUCUGCUUCGUCCGAUGAUCACGCGUUACCGGAUCCUGAGGAGAAAUCGGACAUUUCUGUUUGUCUAGAUGCCGGUCCAAGUGGGAAUGCAGUGGCUGAGUCCACCUUGGAUGGCCCGAAGGAUUUGGAUUGGGAUGCAGAGGAGAGCCAUCUCUGCGGCAAUGGGACCGGUCCUGUAUUCAGUGUAUAUGAAGACCCAGACGGCAAUGCAGUGCAUGUUGAGGUGAAUGAGGAUGAAAUCGUUAGCAGGUGUGUGAGUGCAGAUGGAGAAGGGAGUGGCGAUUUGCAGUCCAUGUUGUCUCGUGCAAGAGUAAUGGCUAAGGGGUUUGAAAGUGGCGAACGUGAGGUUCCGAAGAACAGCUCAUUGGUUCAGUUCGUAGCCACCGAGAAGAAGGAAUCGUGUGUUGCGGAUGCUGAUGUUUCAGUUGUGCAGACAAAUAGGACUGCUUCAAGGGCUGUUGCACAGGGUGGUUUUGCAGCAUUUUGUGGUGUGUGCAUUGUAUUGAUGGCGUCGAAGUUGAUUUGGAGGAACAUCAAGGCACCUUUUUCUAGAAAGUCGUUUCAUGUACCUAGACCAGGGAUGAGAGCUGGUCAAUUGGACAAGGGUAACGGCAUGGUAAUCAGUAAUGUACAUAAGUUUCCAGGAGAUUUACUGGUAAGACCGCAGUUAGAGAGGAUGGAAUUGAUGAACAACCUCAAAAAAGCCAAAAUGUCAAGAGAACGGUUUUCUUUCAGAAAUAUAUUUUGUUGCAGUACUGUUGCAAAUGAUGACAAUGCAAGAAUAACCGAGAUCAGAAGAAUGGUGACUGAUGUUCACACUCUAGAAGAAGGAAACCUUGGAAAAAGCAAAGGGGGAAACAAUAAUUCUGUUGUCUUUCCCCACCCAGUAGUUGCCACCGAGGAAGCAAUUUCAGCAAGUUAUGUUAGACAAUCCGUAGAUGAUGCAUCAGAGUUCGACAGUUGUGAAUUACCUAAUAUUAGUUCCUCCAAUGGUAUUAUUGAGGAAAGUGUCAAGCAGCCUGUGGAUUUUAAGAACGGAGCACCAACCGUAGACACAUGUGUAAAAGAUCAGUAUGUUAUUGGAGAAAUUGAACAGCCUGAGUUCAGGUAUAAUGAUGAGAGCACAGCUGAUGCAAAGGAUACAACUUCUGUCAUACAUGCAGCAGAAAAAGAACUACAUAUUUGUUCUGCAGAUGAUCAUAAUGUGAGUCCUAAUACCAUCAAUACCCCAUCACCUGAGUUUGAAAGAAAAGAACAGUUCGCGGAGAUAGCUGCUAGUAUUCAAGGACUAGAACCAUCUGAGCUGUUCAGUAGUGACAAACAGAUGAUUUGUAUAAAUGGUAGUGCUCACCAGAUCAUCAAUAAUGUUGUCCCAGAAACUGCUGAUGUUUUUUCACCUAAUUGCUUUAACAUUUCAUCAUCUGGGUUGAAAUACAACGGAGCAUCCCUAGCCAAUAGUGAAAAUGAUAUCAAUUGCAUGCAAGAAACUGAAGUACCGAUGGCCUUUGCAAAUGAUGCUCAGAUGGCUAACUGUGAAGGCUUUGCUCAUUGCGUAAGCAUAAUAGGUAAAGAAGCAUGUAAAGAUCCACUAAUGACCGAUAUAUCAACUAUGAAAUCACCUCAGAGAAUCAGUGAAGAGCCUGCGGAUUUGAUGACAUAUAACAUGCAAUGCAUGCAAGAACCAGAACCAUCCAACCAUGAUGGCAAAGAGGUAAUUUAUGCAAAUGCGAAGAACCAUAAGAAAGCCGUAGUACACAAUGAGACAAAGACUAGUUCAGAAACAGUUGAUGAAGCUAACACAUCUCCAUUAUACAUCCUACAAGAAACAGUUCAACACAGAGGUGCAGAAGUUGAAAUAUCAGAGAAGGAAGUGAAAAUCACUUCCUCCAACAAAGAAGCCAGAGGGCAUCUUAAAAAGGAUAAAGCGAAACUACAGAAAGAAAUGUUCAGUGACAAGGUACCUGGAACAAAGUUGUCAGCAGAAGGUGGUGUACCUGGAACUAGCAUUGUGGUUGAUCCAUCAAAUGGUGUACAGAAAACUAAAAGAGUGGCACGCAAACGGCUGAAGAAAGUGCAAACUAAUCAGGGAGCUGCAGAAAGAGUCACAGAACAAGAUGUCGCUCACAAUAGCAGCAUGGUUGGUCAGGAAAACAGUAGCCAGAAUGUUAGAAGGACAAGAAGAAAAAAUCAGACAAAUGCAUUUCACACCGAAGGAUCUCAAACAAGAGAAGAAAUUCCAGAAACAACUUCCAUGGAAAGUUUACCUGAUGAUGCACCAAUAGCUGAAAACAUGAAACCUCUUGUUAAGGCAGGUUCACCUGCUGGAACACUAUCUUCAGAGGUAUCAGUAAGAAACUAUUGAUUUGCAGUAUCCUUUGCAGAGCUGUUACUUAUAUGUUUCAAUAAGACAAUUUUAAUAUGGUGCUCUUUCAGCAGUAUCGUUCCGUAGUUUGGAAUUCGUCAUAAGGUCAUCUUUCUAACAAGGACCAGAUAACAACACUAGUGUAGAAGGAUUAGGAAAAUGGUAGGUGCUAGUUGUAAACUAAUGAACUCUUGAAUGUGCAAAAAACAUUGUAAGUAGGAACUUAUAGAAUUUUCUGGACAUAGUGAACUAUAUAUAACUUGUGAGUAAUACAGGAACUUGUGCAGUAACUCUCACGAAAUGCUGCAGGGAACAAGUGAUUCAAAAUGUAAGUAACAUAAGAUUAAAUGGCUUUCAGUAACUAUUCUUGAACAGCCUAUUUUGGAUCGGACUGUACAUCACUGGUUUGCAUAGGUAAUAAUUUAAAGAAAACCAUGACCUAAUCCUUGAGCUGGUCCUCCAAUGAGUAAAAUGCACACAUCGUCCUUCAACUCAGUCACUUAGAUCCAUGGACUUUGUAACCACAUAUUCAUCCAUUUAAACUUUUUAAAGGUUGCGCUAGAGGUUCAUAUCUGGUCGCGCAGUCUCUGACUGCUUCCGUGUGUGUUGACUAUGAAGCAUGACAUCCUUCCCAAUUACAUGGUGGCACUGGCAUGUCUUCUUCCUCAGACUGCAAAUCGCUGGUUUACAUUUACUUGCAUGAUGCUUGCAGCUUGCCGUACUACUAUUAUCAUAUUUUCUCUUGUUUGUUCCUGAAUCCUGGCGUUGUCAUGUUUCUAUUGAAGGAUAUUCUUAGGGAAUCUCAGCCAAGUAGGUUCAAUACCCAUACAAUGAGGAAGGAAGAGUUAAAACUCAAAUUCCAAGCUUCCGAAAGGAUGGAGGCAGCCGCAACGGAAACUAAAACCAAUAUGCACAACUAUAGUGCCAUGCAUGAGGGAUCAACUGAUUUUGACAAGUCGAAGACGAAGAUGGGUGUAGCUGCUGCCAAGAAGUCCACAAAGAGGUAGAUGUUUUCCUCAGAAUUCUCCUUUUUAUUGAGUCAAAGAUCAUAUAGAAUGGCUGUGUGAUUGGUAUGUACACACACUUGUCUGAAACUGUCCACUGCACACUUCCUUUACAGAAAAUCAUUGUCGAAGCGUACCAAGCCAAGUAAUCCAGUGUCAAAUAAAGACUCAGAGGAACCCACUGGUGACUGAUGUGCAUAAAGUGUUUCAAGUAAUGUCCUCUUCGUCUCCUUCGUGCAUAGGCAUUAAGGCAGUUUCUGGAGAGUUGCACUCAAUUAAUGUGCAGCAAAUUUCUUGGUGAGGAAUAGUGGCAAUAUUUGCAGUACAGGCAUCAACCGAAGAGGAUAACUUCUCUCGUCAAUCUGAAGUUCAUCUCUGCUGCUGAUGAAGGGGGUUGAGCUAACCAGGCUGCAUGGAAAAGAGCUUGGUAAAAUAUAGGCCAACAGGAUGGUGCUCCAGUAUUUUACAAAUACUUGACAGUCUAUAGGUCCUAUUCCAUUUAAGUUGGAGCAUCAUUAUGAAGUUUAGUCAAAAAUAGCAAAGUCUCAUAGGUGUAUACUUUGAACCAUGUUGUCCAAGUGGCAUCUAUUUUGGAGCAGAGGUGGCAAUAAAGUUAAAUGUACCUUCUGGUCUGCAAAAUCUAGAAAUAAAUGAAGAAAAAUAUUCAGAAUUAGGCAGCAAUAGGGGAUAAGUAUAAUAUUGUUAAAAACCAACAGUAACAACUCAAUAUGUUACUUCCCCCGCCAAAAAAAACAACUCAAUAUGUUACUUCACAAUUACAACCUUGCUCUUUUUAUCUGAUCGAAAGAUAUUUGUAAGAUGCAGCAAUUGCAAAAGAAGUAAGUUUCCGUGAACAUUUUUGUACAAUCCUUGUGCGGUUACAGAUACUGUUAACACAUCAGCGUAUUGCCAUAAACCAUACUUGGCUUACAAAUCCAAGGGAAGAUGGGACGUAAACUUAGUCCUGUUAGUGGAUCAAACUCGCAAACUUGACAGCAUAUAUUUCAUGGGACAGAUGAACAUGAUUUUUUUUUACUAUGAAACAAUUGGAACUAACCAGUAUACACGUAACAGAAUAGUAUUAAUCCUGUAGCUCAAUCUAAUGUAAAUGUUAGACUUUUCUCAUGCACGCAGUCAGCGCAUUACAGUGGACCAUUACACAUAUGAGUAAGUGGAUCGAUUCAGCAAAUAUUAUGAGUGAUUCGCACCACUGGCUCUUUAACCUUUUCAGUUUUGGUACCAAGUUCCUAAACAUGCAUAUUUGCUUGAACGUUGCUUAAUUUUAUCAACUACUCCCUCUGUUCAAUUUGAACUGCCAAAACGCCAUAUAUUUAGGAACGGAGGGAGUACAUCCAUUGGUCACAGAAAAUAUGUAGUAAUGUGCUAUGCGGAGAGGCAACAUGUUCACUCACCCUUCAUUUUGGAACCAAAUGACCAUUAAAAGUUUAAAGUAGCUACUGUAGGAUUGGAAUGAAGUGUAUGCUGUUUGUUUCUUAUGGAGAUCAUACUCAUUCCUGUUGCUUUUAGACUGCUUAAUCUGCUGGUGGAAUUUGCUUCCUAUAAAUCCCUCCACGAUUCCAUGCUGUCAUUGAGUUACUCUUCUAGUCAACAAGUUUAAUUGUUGUGUAUCAAAGCACGCAACAGGGAGAAUUUGGCCUGGUGGGGAGGCUUGGUUGGGAAUGGGUUUAGGUCAUAGGUGAAGUUGAUUUCUUAUUGCUUGAAUUUACUCCCUCCGUUUCUUUUUACUCUGCGUAUAAAAUUUGUUUGAAGUUAAACUACGCAAAGUUUGACCAAAUUUAUCUUAAAAAAUUAUCAACAUUUACAAUGCAAAAGUUACAUAGUAUGAAAAUUAGUUUCAUGAUGCAUCUAAUGAUAUUGAUUUCAUAUUGAGAAUGUUGAUUUUUUUUAAUAUAGUUGGUCAAACUUUAUGAAGUUUGACUUCAGACAAAAUUUAUAUGUAGACUAAAAUGAAAUGGAGGGAGUACCGAGUACAUGAUUGCCUUAUGAUUAACUUAGGUUUGAGAAAGCAAUCUCCAACUUAAGGUAACAAAUCUUGUCUAAUGGGAGAGUAAUCUUAGCAAAUGAUAGAGAAAUAAUUUAUAGAUAGAUAUGGGUGCAUCUGCCAUAUGUCUUGUGUCAUGUGUGCAGCCGGUGGCUGUAGGACCAAGGCCCACGUCCUCCUAGUCCAACCAUGACACUCAUGGUGCGGCAAAGCAUGUGUGACCUUCUAGUUGGUCCAAAUGGGACUGGAAAGUUGGAACUCCUCUUUGUGGAAAAUUUAUCAGGUCAGGUAGCAGCCACUUCAGCUCGAAGACCUAUUUUCAUGACCACAUAUACAGUUAUAGUUCUACUCGACUGGUGCAAUCAAGCAAGCGAAAUAAUCAUUAGAGAAAUUUCAUGUUAAGCAUUUUACACUGCCGCAAUGACACAACUUAUAGAACCUCAGGUACACUUCAAUCCUGACAUAUCAAGGAUAUGCCAGUUACAGUUCGAUAUUUACUCCACAAGCUUUGGGGGCAUGCUUCUGAUCUUCAUCCUAGCUCAAGGGAUUAUUUAUCCUUCAGACGUGUUGCACUAGUAUUUUUAACAUGCAUCUGCGCUUCGUCCUCUUUCUAGCUAUGACCAUUAUCCUUCAAACAGAUCUGACAGCAGCUCUUCAAGAUCUUCGGUGGUGUACUUCAUAAGCCUUUGAUACUUGUUUUUGUGAUUCUCAAGGUAUGCACUGUAAGCCUGAACAAGCUUCUCUGAUACUGAUUUACGCAUGUUGGACCGGAGCAGAGGAUUUUCAACUUUCCACGUCUUCUGAGUCCAGUAAGUUUUCUCAAAUUCCAUGUUAAAUAUUUGCAGUGUUGGUAGGCUAGAAAAGAUUGGGAUUUUGUUGGUCUUUACAUGGAAGCAAUACAUGACAGAUUCCCAAGAAAUGUUGAUGAACGAUGAGAUGUGGUCCUUUAGUUGGUCUUGGUGCUUCAGAACCCAAUCUUCUCCUAGAAGAUGCCUUAUCUCUGAGCCUUCUACUUGAUGCAACAAAAAGUUCACAUUAUUCACCAUGAACAUUUGUUUCAACCCUGCAUCUUUAUAUCGAUGAGAUUCUUUCUCAAGCAUAAUUUCCAUGUGAGAGAUCAAGGUAGCAACAGUAUCUUGCAGCGUCUCCAUUGCAACCUUGUCAUCCUGUUCAUCACCAACAAGUAUGAUCUUGAGAGAGGUGCCAUUGUCCAGAAGUGACAUGAUGUAUUUUAACAAGUAUCUGGUGAUCUCAUGGAUACCGCCACCUUGGGGGACUACGUCAGAUUUAUAGUCAAAGAUCAUGUCUUUGAGUACCCGAAGACCACUCCUUAUGCUUCUUCGCAAAUCAUGCAGUGCGUUUCCAAACCUUUCUGAUAGUGAUGCACCUCUUUUCGGGCAUAAUUCAUCGACAAACUGAGCGAAAUGUUGCAACAGGAAAGGGAAUAUAUUCUUGGGCAGGACCAGCAACAGGUUAGCAAGCGCUUCGUGGACUCGUAUCAUGGCCACGACGUGAUCUGGGUGUGGUGCUGUCGAGGUUACCACUUGUAUCAAAGAAAAUACAGACUCCAAGAGCCGGAUAUUUGAGUUCACCUUUGACCCCAUUGAAGAUCUUGCCCAGCGACUGAUCUCCUUGAUAGAAGUACUGUGACGCCCCCGAUUCAAUCGUACACUAAUCAUGCACGCAAACGUGUACGAUCAAGAUCAGGGACUCACGGGAAGAUAUCACAACACAACUCUAAAACAUAAAUAAGUCAUACAAGCAUCAUAAUACAAGCCAGGGGCCUCGAGGGCUCGAAUAUAAGUGCUCGAUCAUAGACGAGUCAGCGGAAGCAACAAUAUCUGAGUACAGACAUAAGUUAAACAAGUUUGCCUUAAGAAGGCUAGCACAAACUGGGAUACAGAUCGAAAGAGGCGCAGGCCUCCUGCCUAGGAUCCUCCUAAACUACUCCAGGUCGUCAUCAGCGGGCAACACGUAGUAGUAGGCACCUCCAGUGUAGUAGGGUCGUCGACGAUGGUGGCGUCUGGCUCCUGGACUCCAGCAUCUGGUUGCGACAACCAGAAAGAAAAGAAAGGGGAAAAAGGGGGGAGAAAGCAACCGUGAGUACUCAUCCAAAGUACUCGCAAGCAAGGAACUACACUACAUAUGCAUGGGUAUAUGUGUAAGGAGGCCAUAUCAGUGGACUGAACUGCAGAAUGCCAGAAUAAGAGGGGGAUAACUAAUCCUGUCGAAGACUACGCUUCUCGCAGCCACCGUCUUGCAUCAAGUAGAAGAGAGUAGAUUGAAGUCCUUCAAGUAGCAUCUCCAAGUAGCAUCUCAUAGCAUAAUCCUACCCGGCGAUCCCCUCCUCAUAUCCCUGAGGUAGAGCGACCACCGGUUGUAUCUGGCACUUGGAAGGGUGUGUUUUAUUAAGUAUCCGGUUCUAGUUGUCAUAAGGUCAAGGUACAACUCCAAGUCGUCCUGUUACCGAAGAUCACGGCUAUUCGAAUAGAUUAACUUCCCUGCAGGGGUGCACCACAUAGCCCAACACGCUCGAUCCCAUUUGGCCGGACACACUUUCCUGGGUCAUGCCCGGCCGCGGAAGAUCAACACGUCGCAGCCCCACCUAGGCAAAACAGAGAGGCCAGCACGCCGGUCUAAACCUAAGCGCACAGGGGUCUGGGCCCAUCGCCCAUAGCACACCUGCACGUUGCGUGGGCGGCCGGAAGCAGAACUGGCCCCCUUAAUACAAGAGCAGGCUUACGUUCCAAUCCGGCGCGCGCCGCUCCGUCGCUGACGUCUGAAGUGCUUCGGCUGAUACCACGACGCCGGGAUACCCAUAACUACUCCCGCGUAGAUGGUUAGUGCGUAUAGGCUCGUAGCCAACUCAGAUCAAAUACCAAGAUCUCGUUAAGCGUGUUAAGUAUCCGCGAACGCCGAACAGGGCCAUGCCCACCUCUCUCCUAGGCGGUCUCAACCUGCCCUGCCGCUCCGCCUCAAAGAUCCACUCGCGGGUGCUCCACCAGCCGACCCGACUUUAGUCUCCACAUGUAUCAUGUAUAAAGUAUAUAGUAUAUACCCGUGAUCACCUCCCGAGUGAUCACGGCCCAAUAGUAUAGCAAGGCAGACUGACAAGAAUGUAGGGCCAAUGAUGAUAAACUAGCAUCCUAUACUAAGCAUUUAGGAUUGCAGGUAAGGUAUCAACAGAUGUAGCAACAAUGUCAGGCUAUGCAUCAGAAUAGGAUCAACGGAAAGCAGUAACAGGCUACACUACUCUAAUGCAAGCAGUAUAGAAGAGAAUAGGCGAUAUCUGGUGAUCAAGGGGGGGGGCUUGCCUGGUUGCUCUGGCAAGAAAGAGGGGUCGUCAACUCCGUAGUCGAACUGGGCAGCAGCAGCGUCGGUCUCGUAGUCUACCGGAGAGAAAAGGGGGAAGAAACAAUGAAUACAAUGCAUAUCGAUGCAUGACAUGACAAGUAACGAUGCUAGGUGUGCCCAAUCGCGGUAGUAGGUGAUACCGACGAAGGGGGGAAACAUCCGAGAAAGUAUUCCCGGUGUUUCGCGUUUUCGGACAGAUGAACCGGAGGGGGAAAGUUGCGUGUUUGGUAUGUUAGAGGUGUGUGGUGGACGAACGGGCUGCGUAUCCGGGUUCGUCUCGUCGUUCUGAGCAACUUUCAUGUAGAAAGUAUUUUAAUCCGAGUUACGGAUUAAAAGAUAUGAUUUUCUAAAGAUUUUAUUAAUUUCUGAAAUUUAAUUAAUUAUUUAAUUAAUUCGAAAAUGGAUUUAUGAUGUCAGCAUGACGUCGUGCUGACGUGAGCAGUCAGCGUUGACCGUUUGACCUGGUCAACCUGACAUGUGGGUCCCGUGGGACCCACCUGUCAUACACUGUUAGGUUUAAUUAGGGUUUAGUUUAAUCCUAAUUACAGUUUUAUUAAAAUUAACUAGUUAAUUAAAUUAAUUAAACCGGAUUAAUUAACUUAAUUAAUUACUUAAUUAAUUAAUUAAUAGUUAAUUUGUUAAACCAUUUUUAUUUUUAUUAAUUAUAUUUAUUUUAAUUUGCUUAUUCAUUCGGGACCCACAUGUCAUAGACACAGGGGGCGGCCACGUCAGCGUUGACCGGUUCAACAGGCCGGCCGGGCCCUUGGGGGCCCACGGGUCAGUGACCCACGCGGUGGCCCCAGGCCGGCCACGUCGGCGGGCGGCGUUGACGCGCCGGCGGCGACCUCCAGGACGGCGGCGCGACACGUGACCUCACCGGAAACGUGCCACAGGGCACGACUGAGGGUGUCUGGGGGCUCUACGGGACGGGCGCGGUGCGCCGCGUCCGAUGGUGGCCGUGGUUGGCGCGGGGGUGGCCGGAGUUGAGCGCAUCGAGCUCAUCGGCGGCGAGGCGCUUCGGGCGGGGUACGGGAACGGGGUCUAAGGGGCGCAGGGGGCGUGGCCAGGGACGGGGCGAGAGGGAGGCGCGGGGUGCGGCAGUGCGCAACCCGGCGUGGCGGCGACGGCGGCCCUCAGGCACGGGCGUGCUCGCCGGGGCCGCGGCUCGUUGGUGGCGAUAAGGGGCGCGGCCGGCAUGGCGAACGCGAGCCCGUCCAGAGCUCGGGGCGUGGCNNNNNNNNNNNNNNNNNNNNNNNNNNNNNNNNNNNNNNNNNNNNNNNNNNNNNNNNNNNNNNNNNNNNNNNNNNNNNNNNNNNNNNNNNNNNNNNNNNNNNNNNNNNNNNNNNNNNNNNNNNNNNNNNNNNNNNNNNNNNNNNNNNNNNNNNNNNNNNNNNNNNNNNNNNNNNNNNNNNNNNNNNNNNNNNNNNNNNNNNNNNNNNNNNNNNNNNNNNNNNNNNNNNNNNNNNNNNNNNNNNNNNNNNNNNNNNNNNNNNNNNNNNNNNNNNNNNNNNNNNNNNNNNNNNNNNNNNNNNNNNNNNNNNNNNNNNNNNNNNNNNNNNNNNNNNNNNNNNNNNNNNNNUAUGGGAGUGAGGGGGGCCGGAUGGGCCAAUGGGCCGGUCGGCUGGGCCGGUUGGCCCAGUUGGCCAGAGGGUUUUCCCCCUGUAGUUAUUAGGUUUAUUUUCCUUUUCUUAUUUUUCCUUUUCUGUUUUAAUUCAUUUUAAAAUAUUCAGACACUUUAUAAAAAUGUGUGCACCCCACCAUAAUUAACCUUGUAAUAUUUGACAACCCCCGAACAUUUUAGUUUGAUUUUUUUGAAAACUUUUAUUGCCAUCAUAAUUUUGAAUUGAAUUUCGAAACCGUUUUGAUUUAACCCGAGAUUAACUACAGUGACAGAGGUGACGUGGCACCAUCAACGUGAGUUUACUGUAGCAUGAUUAUCCGGGCGUUACAAAUCUCCUCCACUACAAGAAAUCUCGUCCCGAGAUUUAGGAGGUAGAAGGAAACAGUGCGGGGUAUUCAUCACGAAGACGAUCCUCGCAUUCCCAGGUGGCUUCGUCUUCAGAGUGAUUCGACCACUGGACCUUGAGGAACUUGAUCGCCUUCUGACGUGUGCGGCGUUCAGCUUGGUCGAGAAUGCGGACCGGAUGCUCUUUAUAGGAGAGGUCCUGUUGCAAUUCGAGCACUUCAUGGUCCACUGCUCGGAUUGGGUCCUUGAAGCAGCGUCGGAGUUGUGACACGUGGAACACAUCGUGAACCUGAGAAAGGUUCGACGGAAGCUCCAGUUGAUAUGCCACCUUUCCACGCCUCUCGAGAAUAGUGAAUGGGCCAAUAUAGCGAGGAGCUAGCUUGCCCUUGAUCCCGAAGCGGUGAGCACCCUUCAUUGGUGUAACGCGAAGAUAGGCCUUUUCGCCAGGUUGAUAGACCAUGUCUUUAUGAUGACGGUCAUAAUUACUCUUUUGACAUGACUGAGCAGUCUUGAGAUUCUCGCGAAUAAUGCGGACUUGUUCUUCGGCAUGUUGGAUAAUAUCCGGACCGAAGAGUGGACGUUCCCCAGUUUCUGACCAGUUCAGAGGGGUUCGGCACUUUCGUCCAUAUAACACUUCGAAGGGGGCCAUCUUCAGACUAGCUUGAUAGCUAUUAUUAUAAGAGAACUCAGCAUACGGGAGAGAUUCCUCCCAUUUCUUGCCGAAGGAAAUAACACAAGCUCGAAGCAUGUCUUCGAGAACUUGGUUGAUACGUUCAACUUGCCCUUGUGACUGCGGAUGAAACGCAGUGCUGAAAGACAGAUGAGUGCCCAUAGCUUCUUGGAAACUUGCCUAGAAUCUUGAAGUGAAUAAACUGCCACGGUCUGAACUGAUAACCAGUGGAAUACCAUGAAGCGAAACAAUUCUGGACAUGUAGAGAGUUGCAAGCUGACUAGCAGUGAUCGUUUCUUUGACCGCCAGAAAAUGUGCAACCUUAGAAAGUCGGUCAAUGACGACAAGAAUAGCAUCAUUACCCUUUUGCGAUUUGGGAAAUCCAGUAACGAAGUCCAUCUCGACAUGGUCCCAUUUCCAUUCAGGAAUAGAUAUAGGUUGCAGAGUUCCAGCAGGCCUUUGAUGUUCUGCUUUGAUACGACGGCAAACGUCACAUUCAGCAACAUAACGAGCAAUGUCUUGCUUCAUGUUAGACCACCAGAAUCUCUGGCGGAUGUCUUGGUACAUCUUUGUACUACCAGGGUGGAUACAUAGAGGCGUAUCAUGAGCUUCUUUCAUAACCUCCUGAGUCAUAUUCAGGUUUUCCUUCUUACAUGGCACCACUAGGCGGCCUUUGAAGUACAAGGCGCCAUCAUCAGCAAUAGUGAAGGAUGAGGGACUUCCUUCUUUGAGGUCUUGCUUAAUCUUGUAGACUUCAGAGUCAAAUCCCUGCAUUGUCUUUAUGGUGCCCACGAGAUCGGGUUCAACAGCCAGGGUAUAGAGGGAACCCUGGGAAACAACACGGAGAUUCAUCUUGCGGAACUCCGGAGGAGGGGGAGCGAGUGCACCCGGAGGAACAAUAUGGAGGUUUAGCUUUCUGAAUUCUUCAACAAGUGAGGGCUGAACUUUGUGAACCUGGAGGUGGUUGCAGUAAGACUUGCGGCUCAAGGCAUCAGCCAUUACAUUAGCCUUGCCUGGUGUAUAGGAAAUACCCAAAUCAAAGUCUGCAACAGUCUCCAUCCAUCUCUGCUGACGGAGGUUCAGGUCUGGCUGAGUAAAUAGAUACUUCAGACUUUGGUGGUCAGUGAAGAUCUCGCAACGAUUACCGAGUAGGUAAUGUCGCCACUGUUUUAACGCAUGAAUGACAGCAGCAAGUUCGAGGUCGUGAACUGGGUAGUUCUCUUCGUGAGGGCGCAAUUGCCGAGAGGCAUAAGCAACCACUUUGCGCUCUUGCAUUAGGACACAGCCUAGUCCUUGACGGGAAGCGUCGUAGUAAAUGACGAAGUCCUUCUUAGUAUCAGGAGGAGCUAGUACUGGGGCAGAAGUCAACUUGUCCUUGAGUGCCUGGAAACUUUCCUGACAUUUAUCUGUCCAUUGGAACUUGACGCCCUUAUGCAAUAGGUUAGUCAGAGGCCUGGCAAUCUUAGAGAAGUUCUCGACGAAUCGACGGCAGUAGCUGGCGAGACCGAGAAAACUUCUGACUUGCUUAACGUUCUUCGGAGGAGUCCAAUCGAGAAUAGCCUGAACUCGUUCAGGGUUGACGGCAAUACCAUCCUUAGAGAUGACAUGCCCGAGAUAGGUUACUUCGGGAAGCCAGAAUUCACACUUGGAGAACUUGGCAUAUAGCUGAUGCUCUUGUAGCUUUUCCAGCACAAGACGAAGAUGUUCAGCAUGUUCUUCUUCACUCUUGGAAAAUAUCAGGAUAUCAUCCAGAUAAACCACGACGAACUUGUCGAGGUAAUCCAUGAAUAUAUAGUUCAUCAGGCGAGAGAAGGUGGCUGGAGCAUUGAUUAAGCCGAAAGACAUGACGGUGUACUCGUAUGAACCAUAACGAGUCACAAAGGCGGUCUUGGGGAUAUCCUCCUCACGAACACGGAUCUGGUGGUAACCCAACCUCAAGUCGAGUUUAGAGAACACUGAUGAACCAGCCAAUUGAUCAUACAGAUCAUUGAUCCGAGGAAGAGGAUACUUAUUCUGAAUGGUAGCUUGGUUUAUAGGACGGUAGUCUUGGACCAAUCGGUUUGUCCCAUCUUUCUUCUUGACAAAGAGAGAAGGUGCUCCCCAAGGAGAGCAACUUGGGCGAAUGAAACCACUUCGAAGAGAUUUAUCGAUUUCCUCCUUAAGCUCAAGGAGUUCAUGCGGCGGCAUCUUGUAGGGUCGCUUGGCUAUAGGAGUAGUGCCUGGUUUCAAGUCGAUGACGAAUUCGACAGCUCUAGCGGGGGGAAUCCCUGGGAGUUCUUCUGGAAAGACGUCGAGGAAGUCACGCACGACGGGAAUGUUUUCAAUGCCCUUGAGUGGUGCGGCGUUCAAUGCAUUCAAUGCAUAGAGCCUUACCUCGGCAUUCUUAACCAGAUGGGCAUUGUAGCUUAUUAUCUCAUCAGAAGGGUGUAGCAGAUGGACGGUCUUGGUGGCGCAAACGAUAGAAGCAGUAUGCGCCUUUAACCAAUCCAUUCCCAGAAUGAGGUCAAUGCUACAGGACUUCAGUACGAUGGGAGAGACAAGGAAUUCCAGUCCUUCGAUUUCUACAGGGACGUCGUUGCAAAUCAUGGAGGUUCGACAUUGGCCCGCAGGAGUGUGUACUAAUAGUGAAGCAUUCAUGUCCUCACAUUUAAUGUCGUGCAAGCAUGCAAAAUCUUCUGACAUGAAUGAAUGCGAUGCACCUGUAUCGAAUAAAACAGAUGCAGGUACUGAAUUUACGAGGAGUGUACCCAUCACAGUAGCAGGCUGGUCUUGAGCUUCAUUCAGAUCAACGUGGUUGGCAUGAACACGGCCAUAAGACUUGGCAUUGUUAUUGCGGGUCUGGUUGUUUCCACGGCCAGCGGCUGGAAGGGCUAGUUGAUUCUGAUUCUGAAUGCAAUCCCUAGCACGGUGACCUGGUUGACCACACUUGUAGCACAGGCCAUUAUUGGGAGUGGGAACAGGAACUUGGGGUGGUGGAGCUGGAAGCCUUGGCUGCCUAGUUGGAGCAGUAGGCAGACGAGGUGCAGCAUAAGACUGCCUUGGGGCUGGUGCAUUUGGACGGUACAUGCUGUUCGGGAUCCAUAUCUUACGCUUCUGCGAGGGCGGGCCCGAAGAUGAGCCUGUGUCACGGUUGCGCCUUUGAGAGCUCUGGUGUUCUUGCAGACCAGUCUCAACAUUGAUGGCCUUAUUCACCAAGGUGGCGAAAUCAGCAAAGUCGUUUACUAGAAGUGCGAGCUUGAUGUCAGCUUGAAGGCCGUCACAGAACUUCUCCUGCCUGCGAGCAUCAGUUGCAAUGUCUUCUUCAGCAUAGCGGGAUAAAUCCAGAAAUUUGCGCUGAUAAGCUUCCACAGUUUUGUUGCCCUGGGUGAGGUUGCGGAACUCACGCUUCUUCCUGUCCAUGAUUCCUUGAGGGAUGAAGCGGGCACGGAAAGCAGCCUGGAAGUCUGGCAGGUGAUGAUUGUUCCAACUGGCAGAGUACGCCUGUGGCUGUCCCACCAUUGAGCUGCGGGUCCCUUCAGGAAGAAGGAAGCAAAAGUGACAUAGCUGGCAGGGGCUACAUCAGCCGACUCCAUCUCAUAGGUGAUGUCACGGAGCCAGUCAUCAGCAUCCAGCGACUGGGUUGAGCUGCGGUACACACUUGGGUUGAGGCGUAUGAAAUCCUGCAGAGUUGUUGUGUUUGGAUGCUGGUUCAUAUUGGGGCGAGGAAACUGAGCCAUCACAUUUUCCAUGAACUGGCGAUUCAUCUCAAGCUGUUGGAUCAUACCAGCCAUGUACUCAGGCGGUGGUGGGAAGUUGCCACCACGACCACGACCAGCUGGUCUAACCAUCCUGCUAGUAUAUAACAGGGGUAGCUCAGUAUUGAGAAAUUUGCAUAGACAAGAAUCAUUCAUGAUGAAACAUGCAUAAUGAAAGGAGCACGACACAUACCACAUAGAUAGUCGGCAUAACUUACAAAAGGGGUCGGACAUAGAGCUCAGUACACAGAGUCCAGUACAUAGACUAAGUCAUUAUAGGCGGCACGCAGGCUCGCGAAUGCAUCUAAUACUAAUGAGCAAGACUACAUCAGUCCCAGGAGGUACUGUGAAGGUAGCUGUAACCUGACAGCUGGUAGUGAGGCAACGGAUAGUCCUCCACGUCAGUGGCCUGGGGGCCGCGGAUACUCUGGUGUAGAACCCGACGCUCAGGUGGCAGAAGAGGACCAAGUGCGGGAGAGUAGCCUCCCACCUCUGGCCAUCCGACACCGUGGGGCAUCACGGUCCUGGCUGGGUAGAUCGCAGAACGCGGCAGCUGUCCAGACCGGGCAAAGGGGUGCAACAGCGUCAGAGCCCGGUAAAGGUGCUGACGAGUGGUGUACAACUCGUGGCGAAGAGCUCUGUUAGCUCGGUCCAGCCCAUCAGCAUGCAGAACCAGGCGCUGAUGGUGGAAGGGCUCUCGGGUGACGGUGGAGUAGGCGGCAGUGUAGUAUCCCUCCGUGCCAACGUCAGAUGCGAUAGGAAUGUGUCUGAAAGGGGAAGUGUCCAACGCCUGAUACUCUCCACGAAGACGUGUCAGAGCAGCAUGAGCAGCAUCGUGGACUGCCAUCUCGAUGGUCACUCCAACACCAUGAGCGGUGUGCAGCACGGUAGUGGACUCAUACUCCCGAGAGUAGAGGUGGACGAUGGCACGGUACUGCUCCUGGUUAAAGUCCUGGUACUCCUCGUAGACGGUGUACUCAGGGUGCCAGCGAUAACCCAGAUAGGUCAUCAUAUCAGCUAGCACAACAGGUGAUCCUGAGGCACCAAUGGCCGCAGUGUGGCGCACGACCUGCCUCGUGGGUUCCAUGUGAAAACAAAGAUGUUUCAAUGGAGUCAAAUGACAACAUGGGCACUAUUCAAAAUGCUAUCCUGCAGAAUAACUAUGGCUUAUCCAACUUUGGGGUGAACGUGGUAACGGGAUCCUAAUGUCAGAGUUAGUAAAUUCGUUUAACCCGAGUAGAAAAGAGUUCAGAGUCCCAGAGUAAAGGUCGAGGAGUAAAAGAUCCUAGUACCACCCGAUGGCUACGUGGGCCCGUAAGGCACACAGCCAAGUUAGUAAAAGUUUUUGUAAUGUCUAGACUCGACUUCGGCCAAGGAGUGUGGAAGGGGGAUUCCUACAGGCAGUCGGCUCUGAUACCAACUUGUGACGCCCCCGAUUCAAUCGUACACUAAUCAUGCACGCAAACGUGUACGAUCAAGAUCAGGGACUCACGGGAAGAUAUCACAACACAACUCUAAAACAUAAAUAAGUCAUACAAGCAUCAUAAUACAAGCCAGGGGCCUCGAGGGCUCGAAUACAAGUGCUCGAUCAUAGACGAGUCAGCGGAAGCAACAAUAUCUGAGUACAGACAUAAGUUAAACAAGUUUGCCUUAAGAAGGCUAGCACAAACUGGGAUACAGAUCGAAAGAGGCGCAGGCCUCCUGCCUGGGAUCCUCCUAAACUACUCCAGGUCGUCAUCAGCGGGUAGCACGUAGUAGUAGGCACCUCCAGUGUAGUAGGGGUCGUCGUCAAUGGUGGCGUCUGGCUCCUGGACUCCAGCAUCUGGUUGCGACAACCAGAAAGAAAGGAAAGGGGAAAAAGGGGGGAGAAAGCAACCGUGAGUACUCAUCCAAAGUACUCGCAAGCAAGGAACUACACUACAUAUGCAUGGGUAUAUGUGUAAGGAGGCCAUAUCAGUGGAUUGAACUGCAGAAUGCCAGAAUAAGAGGGGGAUAACUAAUCCUGUCGAAGACUACGCUUCUCGCAGCCACCGUCUUGCAUCAAGUAGAAGAGAGUAGAUUGAAGUCCUUCAAGUAGCAUCUCCAAGUAGCAUCUCAUAGCAUAAUCCUACCCGGCGAUCCCCUCCUCAUAUCCCUGAGGUAAAGCGACCACCGGUUGUAUCUGGCACUUGGAAGGGUGUGUUUUAUUAAGUAUCCGGUUCUAGUUGUCAUAAGGUCAAGGUACAACUCCAAGUCAUCCUGUUACCGAAGAUCACGUCUAUUCGAAUAGAUUAACUUCCCUGCAGGGGUGCACCACAUAGCCCAACACGCUCGAUCCCAUUUGGCCGGACACACUUUCCUGGGUCAUGCCCGGCCGCGGAAGAUCAACACGUCGCAGCCCCACCUAGGCAAAACAGAGAGGCCAGCACGCUGGUCUAAACCUAAGCGCACAGGGGUCUGGGCCCAUCGCCCAUAGCACACCUGCACGUUGCGUGGGCGGCCGGAAGCAGAACUGGCCCCCUUAAUACAAGAGCAGGCUUACGUUCCAAUCCGGCGCGCGCCGCUCCGUCGCUGACGUCUGAAGUGCUUCGGCUGAUACCACGACGCCGGGAUACCCAUAACUACUCCCGCGUAGAUGGUUAGUGCGUAUAGGCUCGUAGCCAACUCAGAUCAAAUACCAAGAUCUCGUUAAGCAUGUUAAGUAUCCGCGAACGCCGAACAGGGCCAGGCCCACCUCUCUCCUAGGCGGUCUCAACCUGCCCUGCCGCUCCGCCUCAAAGAUCCACUCGCGGGUGCUCCACCAGCCGACCCGACUUUAGUCUCCACAUGUAUCAUGUAUAAAGUAUAUAGUAUAUACCCGUGAUCACCUCCCGAGUGAUCACGGCCCAAUAGUAUAGCAAGGCAGACUGACAAGAAUGUAGGGCCAAUGAUGAUAAACUAGCAUCCUAUACUAAGCAUUUAGGAUUGCAGGUAAGGUAUCAACAGAUGUAGCAACAAUGUCAGGCUAUGCAUCAGAAUAGGAUCAACGGAAAGCAGUAACAGGCUACACUACUCUAAUGCAAGCAGUAUAGAAGAGAAUAGGCGAUAUCUGGUGAUCAAGGGGGGGGGCUUGCCUGGUUGCUCUGGCAAGAAGGAGGGGUCGUCAACUCCGUAGUCGAACUGGGCAGCAGCAGCGUCGGUCUCGUAGUCUACCGGAGAGAAGAGGGGGAAGAAACAAUGAAUACAAUGCAUAUCGAUGCAUGACAUGACAAGUAACGAUGCUAGGUGUGCCCAAUCGCGGUAGUAGGUGAUACCGACGAAGGGGGGAAACAUCCGAGAAAGUAUUCCCGGUGUUUCGCGUUUUCGGACAGAUGAACCGGAGGGGGAAAGUUGCGUGUUUGGUAUGUUAGAGGUGUGUGGUGGACGAACGGGCUGCGUAUCCGGGUUCGUCUCGUCGUUCUGAGCAACUUUCAUGUAGAAAGUAUUUUAAUCCGAGUUACGGAUUAAAAGAUAUGAUUUUCUAAAGAUUUUAUUAAUUUCUGAAAUUUAAUUAAUUAUUUAAUUAAUUCGAAAAUGGAUUUAUGACGUCAGCAUGACGUCGUGCUGACGUCAGCAGUCAGCGUUGACCGUUUGACCUGGUCAACCUGACAUGUGGGUCCCGUGGGACCCACCUGUCAUACAUUGUUAGGUUUAAUUAGGGUUUAGUUUAAUCCUAAUUACAGUUUUAUUAAAAUUAACUAGUUAAUUAAAUUAAUUAAACCGGAUUAAUUAACUUAAUUAAUUACUUAAUUAAUUAAUUAAUAGUUAAUUUGUUAAACCAUUUUUAUUUUAUUAAUUAUAUUUAUUUUAAUUUGCUUAUUCAUUCGGGACCCACAUGUCAUAGACACAGGGGGCGGCCACAUCAGCGUUGACCGGUUCAACAGGCCGGCCGGGCCCUUGGGGGCCCACGGGUCAGUGACCCACGCGGUGGCCCCAGGCCGGCCACGUCGGCGGGCGGCGUUGACGCGCCGGCGGCGACCUCCAGGACGGCGGCGCGGCACGUGACCUCACCGGAAACGCGCCACAGGGCACGGUUGAGGGUGUCUGGGGGCUCUACGGGACGGGCGCNNNNNNNNNNNNNNNNNNNNNNNNNNNNNNNNNNNNNNNNNNNNNNNNNNNNNNNNNNNNNNNNNNNNNNNNNNNNNNNNNNNNNNNNNNNNNNNNNNNNNNNNNNNNNNNNNNNNNNNNNNNNNNNNNNNNNNNNNNNNNNNNNNNNNNNNNNNNNNNNNNNNNNNNNNNNNNNNNNNNNNNNNNNNNNNNNNNNNNNNNNNNNNNNNNNNNNNNNNNNNNNNNNNNNNNNNNNNNNNNNNNNNNNNNNNNNNNNNNNNNNNNNNNNNNNNNNNNNNNNNNNNNNNNNNNNNNNNNNNNNNNNNNNNNNNNNNNNNNNNNNNNNNNNNNNNNNNNNNNNNNNNNNNNNNNNNNNNNNNNNNNNNNNNNNNNNNNNNNNNNNNNNNNNNNNNNNNNNNNNNNNNNNNNNNNNNNNNNNNNNNNNNNNNNNNNNNNNNNNNNNNNNNNNNNNNNNNNNNNNNNNNNNNNNNNNNNNNNNNNNNNNNNNNNNNNNNNNNNNNNNNNNNNNNNNNNNNNNNNNNNNNNNNNNNNNNNNNNNNNNNNNNNNNNNNNNNNNNNNNNNNNNNNNNNNNNNNNNNNNNNNNNNNNNNNNNNNNNNNNNNNNNNNNNNNNNNNNNNNNNNNNNNNNNNNNNNNNNNNNNNNNNNNNNNNNNNNNNNNNNNNNNNNNNNNNNNNNNNNNNNNNNNNNNNNNNNNNNNNNNNNNNNNNNNNNNNNNNNNNNNNNNNNNNNNNNNNNNNNNNNNNNNNNNNNNNNNNNNNNNNNNNNNNNNNNNNNNNNNNNNNNNNNNNNNNNNNNNNNNNNNNNNNNNNNNNNNNNNNNNNNNNNNNNNNNNNGGGAGGAGGUCGAGGCGGCGGCCGUCCGGCGAUGUGGUCCCGGCGUCGGGGUCAACGGGAUCGGGGCCGAUCCCGAUCCAGAUCGGUGAGGGAGGAGAAGGGGAUCGAGGGGGAGUGGGGGGGAGGCGUCGGCUAGGGUUUCGCCGCCCGGGGUGGGGUUAUGGGAGUGAGGGGGGCCGGAUGGGCCAAUGGGCCGGUCGGCUGGGCCGGUUGGCCCAGUUGGCCAGAGGGUUUUCCCCCAGUAGUUAUUAGGUUUAUUUUCCUUUUCUUAUUUUUCCUUUUCUGUUUUAAUUCAUUUUAAAAUAUUCAGACACUUUAUAAAAAUGUGUGCACCCCACCAUAAUUAUCCUUGUAAUAUUUGACAACCCCCGAACAUUUUAGUUUGAUUUUUUUGAAAAACUUUUAUUGCCAUCAUAAUUUUGAAUUGAAUUUCGAAACCGUUUUGAUUUAACCCGAGAUUAACUACAGUAACAGAGGUGACGUGGCACCAUCAACGUGAGUUUACUGUAGCAUGAUUAUCCGGGCGUUACAAGUACUUACGUUCUUGAGCAGCUUUGAUGGUGAACAGAGGUCUGGAUGCUCCCAGCCAUUGAUUUCUUGCGUAGGGAACUUCGCUGCUGAUUCAAGAAGAUCCUCAUGCUGCUGAAGCUUCUUUCCCUGUAUGAAUUCCGUACCUCCUGUGAUUGCUAGUGCUGGGUUUUCUUCCUUGGGAAACUUCGCUGCUGAUUCCGGAAGAUCCUGAUGCUGCGGAAGCUUCUUUCCCUGUGUGAAUUCAGGAAUUCCUGUGGCUGCUAGCGCCAGCUUGUGAUCCUGAUGCUGCUGAAGCUUCUUUCCCUGUGUGAAUUCAGGAGUUCCUGUGGCUGCUAGCGCCGGCUUGUGAUCACCGGCACAUCCGGCUUGAACUAUGUGCUGGAUUGCGGCGGGGCUUAUUGCCGCGACGGCAAAGGGGUUUGGGGUGGCAGGGGUGCUGCAGCCUGUGGAGAUGGAGGAGCUGGGGCAGCUACUCAGCGUCGGAGUAGAAGCAUAGCUGCUCACGGUGGAAGCAGGACUCCUUGGGAACGCCAUUUCCCAUUCGGCGAUUCUGCAGGGACUGGCUAAGGUUUUGCACCAGCAACUAGCUGCUGAACUCAUGUAAGCUUCCCCUCAACCGCGUUCUCGCAAAAAACCGAUAAGCGCGUCGAUGGCUUAGUGGGCACCGCAAAACAGCUUCGCCGUAUAUAUAUAUAUAUAUUUUUAACUGGCUGACUAUAAACCAGAAGGACGAGGGUGCCAGACAAUGACCACUCGAUGUGACGGCUGCAGCGGAAGCUGAGUACCAGGCAAUCAUUUUGUGAAGAAAAGAACGAUGUAUAGGAGGGAUAUGACGGGGUAAUUUUGAUGGAUAUGUUUGAGCUUUUUGCGGAUCUUAUAUUGGAUUGGGUUAAAUAUGCAUAUUCUGCAAGAACCCGGUUGAUGGGUAAAGAUAUCAGGUGACCACCCUUCACAUGCUCCAUGCUCCAAAUUUUGGAAAGUCACAUUUAGAUGUUUCAAAAAAUUCUGAAUUUUUUUAUGGAUGUUCACAAUACAUAUGUCCAUAACCCCUAAGGGCUUCUUUGAUUCAAAGGAAUUUUAUAGGAUUUCUAGAGGAUUGAAAUCCUUAGGAUUUUUUCCUAUGUUGGUCCUUUGAUUCAUAGGAUUAGAUUUCAUAGGAAUUUUUCCUAUGGAAUAUUUUGUACUACAUUUCAUAGGAAACCUAACGUCCACUCCAACCUCUUUUUACAAUUCCUUUGUUUUUUCUGUGACAUCAAACACUCAUUGCUAAUCCUAUAGGAUUCAAGUGGGCAUGCCACUCCAACCCUAUACUUUUCCUAUUCCUACAUUUUUAAAAUCCUACGAAUCAAAGAGGCCCUAAAAAGUUCGGAUCAAAAUUUGAAAUAUACAUUGGGAAACAAAAACCACAAAUUCAUAUGUGACCCUAUUCAUGUUUUGUCUUGUUUUGACACUAUUCAUUUUAGAUUUGUCUUUCUUGCUCCGCAAUGUGUGUUCUGAAUUUGGAUCUAAAUUUCUUAGGGUCUAUAGUCACAUGCCUUGUGAACAUUCACAAAAAAUCCAGAAUCCCCCCCAAGGUCAGGUCAUUGACCUGUCGUUCCCUAUUGUGUUGUGUAAAUGAUCUUUCCCGCAGGAAGGCUCACACGAACGCACAACGUUUUUCCUUAGCAUUUUCUUAAAAGAUCUCUCAAAUUGUCAUGCUAUAAGAGCAUCUACAGCUGAACUUGACAAAUUCGACCCUUCAACGCGUCCGCUGUUAAUGACUGGUCACGCCUCAAAUUUCCCUUCUCACAACCGGACACCUCAAUUAACAUACCUCAAAUUCAUACAAACUCAUGCAACUUACAUCAACGAUGCAUUACACACGUCCGACUACUACAUCAGGACAUUGCCAUCGGACUACCAAAAACUGACAUGUUUAACCUACAUGCUAGCUAUGGAGAAGAUCAUCCACGGCUGUCCUUGCCCUUCCGAGCGCCCUUGCUCAUCAUGCCUCAAAUGCAGACGGCCAUUGCCUCCUCCAAACUGCACGAGAUAACACCCCAGUCGACAGAUCUGUAUUGGUCGUCGUCGGAUCCAUUGCCCGCCAUGCCGGAGAAGGCCGGAGAUCGCCAGACGGGAGCUUGGGUGGUGGAGGGGAGUGGAGUGAAGUGGCUAGGGUUUGGCCCUGAUAGCAGAUGGGGAGGAAUAUAUGUGGGGUCAGGUGGACCAGCGUGGGCCGGGUCCGACGUGGCGAACGCGCCCAAGCGCCCUUAUAUCCGCCCUCGAUUUGGACUGGAUAUGAGGGGUGCCGGUCAGUCCGGGCGUUUGAGGCCCGUUUGAGACGCCCGUCUGGGUCACUUUUUUGUGACCGGUCAUUGACUGGCCGUCCGCCCAGACGUACGAGGAGGAUUUGGGGUGCCUGGCUGUUGGGGUGUCAGGAACAUAGGGAUGCAGUGCUAUUCUGUUGAAAUGAAUAGUACAAACCCAUCACCUGCAAAUAUUCAGAAGAUCAACUGUAGCAGCACUCAAAUAUUGAUAGAUAGGUUCCUUCUGUUAGAAAACGAGAGACAGGUUCUACUCAGAAGUAAGACAAUCUGACACGCUCAUAGGCAAAUCUAACCUAGAUAAUGCUUCCCAAGUGAUAACAAGUUGAACCAGCCUUGUCUUCUGCUUGAUGACGCACCUAGCAACAAGAAACUGAUUUCAGGUGAGUACAAAUAAAUCUAUUUGAUUCAUAUGCAUUCUUGACAUAGGGGUGGAGCGCUAUUCCACUGAACUGAAUAGCACAGAAAGCCGUCACCUGCAAAUAUUCAGAAGAUCAACUCUACUAGCACAUAAAACUUGAUAGAUAGGUUCUGUUUAGAAGGAAAGCAAUCUCACACGUUCAUAGGCAAAUCCAUUUUGAUAAUGCUUCCAAGUGAAAAUAAAGUUGAAUCAUCCUAUCAAAUCUUCUGCUUGAUUAUAUAUAUAUAUAUAUAUAUAUAUAUAUAUAUAUAGGAGUGGGAUUUUCUACAAGUGCUUGCCACAGAACUAGUUAAGGGUUUCAACGAUGCAAAAGUUCUUAAAAUUUCUGAAAAAAAUACUGAACCAACACACCUAUAAUAUAACAUGAUCCAACGGAGGGAUUAAAAAAAUAUGACUGUAUGUGUCCUGGACAAAAAAACAAAUAGUUCAGUAUAUAUUUAUGUCGUAGUGAGCUGAAAUGCUUAUUAUUUUUGCCGAGGACACAUAGAUGCAUAUUUUGACAAUCCCUCCGUUGGAUCAUCUUAUUACAUUAGAGAGAUGCUCUCAUAUUUAUUUCAUAUUUUUUGAUAACUUUUAAACCAUUAAAAGUUUAGCAACCCUUAACUAGUUUUGUGGCAAGCUAUGUUAGACAUAGUUUUACCUAUAUAUAUAUAUACACACACACAUAUAUAUAUAUAUUAUGGAUAACCUGCUUUAUGAUGCAGCUAGCAACACGAAAUUGCUUUCAGCUGAGUCCAAACAAAUAUAAAAUUGUUGGGCUUCUUUGAUUCAAAGGAAUUUUAUAGGAUUUCUAGAGGAUUGAAAUCCUUAGGAUUUUUUCCUAUGUUGGUCCUUUGAUUCAUAGGAUUAGAUUCCAUAGAAAUUUUUUCUAUGGAAUAUUUUGUACUACAUUUCAUAGGAAACCUAACAUCCACUCCAACCUUUUUUUACAAUUCCUUUGUUUUUUCUGUGACAUCAAACACUCAUUGCUAAUCCUAUAGGAUUCAAGUGGACAUGCCACUCCAACCCUAUACUUUUCCUAUUCCUACAUUUUUAAAAUCCUAGUUUGUAUUGGUUGGGGUGCGCCUGGCCUGGGCAAUAGUGCAACGCCCAGGCAACACACAAGGGCCCCACUAGCAAGCUAGUGUGGUGGACCCUCCCUCAUAAAAAAUAAAUUUAAUAUCGUUGUAGGCACAUGGCCCACAUAUCAGAUAUUAAACUGAUAAGAACAGAUACUACACUUGAUCUUAGCCAAAAGGCCGAGAAAGGUAUGCUUUAGAACCCUGCCCUCCGCCUCCUCUUAUAGCUCUGUUGGCCGACUGCGCUGCUUCCGCGGGCGAGGUGGGACUAAACAAGUUAACAGUGAGUCAUUAGAAACCUGCCUGUGCGUUUCCCUACCAUUGCUUCCGUUUUGGACUUCUUGGCCCAACUAAAGAAUAGUAGCCCAGAUGCCUCAACAGGCCAGCAAUUAUGUGGCUUAACUCAGUCAUGGCCUGAUCAGGGUAGUACAUAAUUAGUUGUCAAGUACUAGUAAACGAGUUAAUAGUUAAUUAACUAUUGCUGGCUCCUGCAACUCAUCCAAUAAUUCAUAUCUGGUUAACAACGUUUCCUAAAUUAGUUUAUUUAAAUAUAGCAAUAUAAUAAAAGCAAGUUUUUGUCAUUUGGGUGUUCAGGGAUUUAACUUCAAGGACUCGAUGAACCUGUGAAAGCUAUUAAAACGAAAUCUAAACUACCCCAAUUAGCAUUGCUCCCAGAGAAGUCUUUCCAUUGUUCCUGUCAGUUCAGUGUGCCAGCCACUUCCUGAAUUUAUUCUUAGUCAGAACAGUAUUAGUAGCCACACAUUCUGCGAUACUUUCUUUCUCUUCCUUGAUCCAAACCGAACCACUCUGCGCGGAUGAAUGCCUUGUAGCCAUCAACUGGGAAGAAAUUAAAGUGCUGCCCCCGUCAACACAACAUCUGCUGAAUAUUACAACAGUACUAUACCCUGCAGAAAUGCAACUCUUUAUAACCAACUACUACCGGAUAGUGCGCGGCGGCAUGCCACGCUCCAUUAGUUGGUUCGAGAGUUGUUUUUCUUGGUGCGGAAAACAGUACUCCCUCUGUCUCAAAAUGCAAGACUUUUUUUUAAGUCAGACUAUGACAGUGUCAAGAAAACGUCUUAUAUUUUGAGACAGAGGGAGUGUGUGUUAGUUGUUUACUUGCAAAAUUUAUACAUAGUUCACACUGCAGCAACCACACAACUUCUAGAACCUCAGGUACAGUUCAAUCUUAACAUAUCAAGGAUAUAUCAGUUACAGUUCCAUAUUCAGUACGCAAGCUUUGGAAGCAUGCAUCUGAAUCGGAUCUUCCUCCUAGCUCAAGGGGCCAUUUAUCCUUCAGAUUUGUUGACAAGUAUUGUCACAUGCAUCUGUGCUUUAUCCUCUUUUUAGCUAUGCCCAUUAUCCUUCAAACAGAUCUGACAACAGUUCUUCAAGAUCUUCAGGGGUGUACUUCAUAAGCUUUGGAGCUUUGUUUUUGAGAUUCUCAAGGUAUGUACUGUAAGCCUGGACAAGAUUCUCUGAUACUGAUUUACGCAUAUUGGACCGGAGCAGAGGAUUUUCAACUUUCCAUGUCUUCUGAGUCCAGUAAGUUUUAUCAAAUUCCAUGUUAAAUAUCUGCAGUGUUGGUAGGCUAGAAAAGAUUUGGAUUUUGUUGGUCUUUGCAUGGAAGCAAUACAUGACGGAUUCCCAAGAAAUGUUGAUGAACCGUGAGAUGUGGUCCUUCAGUUGGUCUCGGUGCUUCAGAACCCAAUCCUCUCCUAGAAGAUACUUUAUCUCUGAGCCUUCUACUUGAUGCAACACAAAGCUCACGUUAUUCACCAUGAACAUUUGUUUCAACCCUGCAUCUUUAUAUCGAUGAGAUUCUUUCUCAAGCAUGAUUUCCAAGUGACAGAUCAAGGUAGCAACAGCAUCUUGCAGCGUCUCCAUUUCAACCAUGCCAUCCUGAUCCUGUUCAUUGCCGACAAGUAUGAGUUUGAGAGAUCUGCCAUUGUCCAGCAGUGACACGAUAUAUUUCAACAAAUAUUUGGUGAUCUCAUGGAUACCACCACCUUGUGGGACUACUUCAGAUGUAUAAUCAAAGAUCUUGACAUUGAGUACCUGAAGACCACUCCUUAUGCUUCUUCGCAAAUCAUGCAGUGUCUUCUCAAACCUUGCUGAUAAAGAUGCACCUCCCUUUGGGCUUAAUUCAUCUACAAUCUGAGCGAAAUUUUGCACCAGGAAAGGGAAGAUGUUCUUGGGCAGGACAAGCAACAGGUUAGCAAGCGCAUCAUGGACCCGUAUCAUGUCGACGAUGUGAUCUGGGUGUGGUGCUGUCGAAGUUACCACUUGUAUCAAAGAAAGUACGGACUCCAAGAGCCGGAUAUUUGAGUUCACCUUUACUCCCGGCGAAGAUCUUGCCCAGCGACUGAUCUCCUUGAUGGAAGUACUUACGUUCUUGAGUUGCUUGGAUGGUGAACAGAGGUAUGGAUGCUCCCAGCCAUUGAUUUCUUGCUUAGGGAACUUCGCUGCUGAUUCCGGAGGAUCCUGAUCCUGAUCCUGAUGUCCGGCUGGAGCUACUAGCCCUGUCUCGGUGGGGACUAUUGCCGUGGCCGUAAAUGAGCUUGGGUUGCUGCUGCCUAUGGAGAUGUAGGAGCUGGAGCAGCUGCUCAGCGUCGAAGUAGAAGCACAGCUGCUCAUACUGGAAUCAGGGCUCCUUGGAAACGCCAUUUCCAAGUUCCAACUCAGUGAUUCUCCUAGGGCUGAGGUUUUGCAACAGCAAGUAGCUGCUGAGCUCUGUAAGCUUCUUCUUGACCGCGUUAUUGCAGAAACUGCUCCCUAUCUUUGGCGCUUUGUUUUCGACUCUGCUCGCUUGGGUAGCGAGGUCGCCGGUUCGUUUGGUACACAGCCUUUGGGCUGAUGUGUGUGUGUGUGUCGUUUUUCCUUAUUAACUGACCAUUUUUCUUUCUUCUUAACGAAAAGGCAGGUUCUUCAGAAAGAAAAAAAAGAAAACUUUGCCGCGUCGCGGGAAAGCGCGUCAGUGAUUUGAUUGGUAGCGCAAAACAGCUGUCAAGGUGCAAUUAUAUUGUAUGAUGUUAGUGGGUUACUGUAAACCACAAGGACGAGGUGUACACUGACCCCUGGACGUGACAGGCUGAGAUUUUUUUCCCUUGGAGGGAAAAACCUGUGUACUUUAAUUCAUAUCAAGAGGCCAACGAUAGAAGCUGACCGGGACAUGGUGGAUGCCUGGAUGGCGACGCGUAAAAUAAAUAGACUGAAUGGAAAUUCUAAUUGGUAAUGGUUUUGCUGCAGGCAUGUAAUGGUUCGGUGUUGGCAGUAUGUGGCUAUGCUUGCGGAAAUGCAUACGGGAAGGUCUAGUGAUGGGAGGGGUCUAAUCCGGGCGUUGGAUCGAGAUCGUAUGGUUCAUCAAAGAGGUGGCAAUUGGUAAAGUAAGUAAUAUCCCAAGUGUCUACAUACACUAUUUAUUUCAUUUUUGCUUGGUCCUACAUGCUAUUUUCUUCUUCUUUUGUUUAGCAUAAAAUAAAACAUAGGAAAGGCUAAAUAUCUAACGUUAGAUUUUUACUCAUGGCAAAUCGAGCGUUUUUCAUGGCAAUUUAUAUUGGGCCAAAAAUGGCAAAAUUACUUUGCAAGCAAGACAAUUUCCUGACCAAAAAAAAAAAA